RNAcentral lists this transfer RNA (67 nucleotides) under marine eukaryotic metagenome. It matches the Rfam family "tRNA", at positions 5 to 66 of the family's 71-position model. From Rfam's summary of the family: Transfer RNA (tRNA) molecules are approximately 80 nucleotides in length. Their secondary structure includes four short double-helical elements and three loops (D, anti-codon, and T loops). Further hydrogen bonds mediate the characteristic L-shaped molecular structure. tRNAs have two regions of fundamental functional importance: the anti-codon, which is responsible for specific mRNA codon recognition, and the 3' end, to which the tRNAs corresponding amino acid is attached (by aminoacyl-tRNA synthetases). tRNAs cope with the degeneracy of the genetic code in two manners: having more than one tRNA (with a specific anti-codon) for a particular amino acid; and 'wobble' base-pairing, i.e. permitting non-standard base-pairing at the 3rd anti-codon position. The record is from RNAcentral.
CGUUAGCUCAGUUGGGAGAGCGCCGGCCUCGCAUGCCGGAGGUCGGGGGUUCGAAUCCCCCACGGUC